Molecule: ribosomal RNA, 253 nt
Filed under: uncultured bacterium
Lineage: Bacteria
Description: partial 16S ribosomal RNA
Rfam family: Bacterial small subunit ribosomal RNA
Source: RNAcentral
UACGGAGGGUGCAAGCGUUAUCCGGAUUUACUGGGUUUAAAGGGUGUGUAGGCGGACUUUUAAGUCAGCGGUGAAAUCUCCGGGCUCAACCCGGGAACUGCCAUUGAUACUAUUUGUCUUGAAUGUUGUUGAGGUGGGCGGAACGGGUCAUGUAGCGGUGAAAUGCAUAGAUAUGACCCGGAACACCGAUUGCGAAGGCAGCCCACUAAGCAACGAUUGACGCUGAGGCACGAAAGCGUGGGGAUCAAACAGG